Molecule: ribosomal RNA, 385 nt
Filed under: uncultured bacterium
Lineage: Bacteria
Description: bacterial SSU rRNA
Rfam family: Bacterial small subunit ribosomal RNA
Source: RNAcentral
GACGAACGCUGGCGGCGUGCUUAACACAUGCAAGUCGAGCGGUAAGGCCCUUUCGGGGGUACACGAGCGGCGAACGGGUGAGUAACACGUGGGUGACCUGCCCUCAGCUCUGGGAUAAGCCUGGGAAACUGGGUCUAAUACUGGAUAUGACUCCACGGUGCAUGUCGUGGGGUGGAAAGCCUUGUGCGGCUGAGGAUGGGCCCGCGGCCUAUCAGCUUGUUGGUGGGGUGANGGCCUACCAAGGCGACGACGGGUAGCCGGCCUGAGAGGGCGACCGGCCACACUGGGACUGAGACACGGCCCAGACUCCUACGGGAGGCAGCAGUGGGGAAUCUUGCGCAGUGGGCGAAAGCCUGACGCAGCGACGCCGCGUGAGGGAUGACGG